This 362-nucleotide ribosomal RNA is filed under the name Quasipaa boulengeri (spiny-bellied frog). RNAcentral's name for it is "partial 12S ribosomal RNA". It matches the Rfam family "Bacterial small subunit ribosomal RNA", at positions 853 to 1384 of the family's 1533-position model. Lineage: Eukaryota; Metazoa; Chordata; Amphibia; Anura; Dicroglossidae. The record is from RNAcentral.
UAACUCACAUCCACCAACGCCAGGGUAUUACGAGCUUUAGCUUAAAACCCAAAGGACUUGACGGUGUCCCAUCCACCUAGAGGAGCCUGUUCCAUCAUCGAUAAUCCCCGCUACACCUAACCACCCCUUGCCAAUCAGUCUGUAUACCUCCGUCGUAAACUUACCAUGUGAGUGCUCACAGUAAGUUUAAUGGCCACCAUCACCAAUACGUCAGGUCAAGGUGCAGCUUAUGGGGCGGCAGGCAAUUGGCUACAAUUUCUAUACUAGAACAAACGAAACGCUGCAUGAAAUACAGCCACGAAGGCGGAUUUAGUAGUAAAAAGAAAAUAGUGUGUUCUUUUUAACUAGGCCCUGGGACGUGU